This 571-nucleotide ribosomal RNA is filed under the name Rhodotorula mucilaginosa. Its description in RNAcentral is "eukaryotic LSU rRNA". It matches the Rfam family "Eukaryotic large subunit ribosomal RNA", at positions 48 to 630 of the family's 3401-position model. Lineage: Eukaryota; Fungi; Basidiomycota; Microbotryomycetes; Sporidiobolales; Sporidiobolaceae. The record is from RNAcentral.
AAGCGGAGGAAAAGAAACUAACAAGGAUUCCCCUAGUAGCGGCGAGCGAAGCGGGAAGAGCUCAAAUUUAUAAUCUGGCACCUUCGGUGUCCGAGUUGUAAUCUCUAGAAAUGUUUUCCGCGUUGGACCGCACACAAGUCUGUUGGAAUACAGCGGCAUAGUGGUGAGACCCCCGUAUAUGGUGCGGACGCCCAGCGCUUUGUGAUACAUUUUCGAAGAGUCGAGUUGUUUGGGAAUGCAGCUCAAAUUGGGUGGUAAAUUCCAUCUAAAGCUAAAUAUUGGCGAGAGACCGAUAGCGAACAAGUACCGUGAGGGAAAGAUGAAAAGCACUUUGGAAAGAGAGUUAACAGUACGUGAAAUUGUUGGAAGGGAAACGCUUGAAGUCAGACUUGCUUGCUGAGCAAUCGGUUUGCAGGCCAGCAUCAGUUUUCCGGGAUGGAUAAUGGUAGAGAGAAGGUAGCAGUUUCGGCUGUGUUAUAGCUCUCUGCUGGAUACAUCUUGGGGGACUGAGGAACGCAGUGUGCCUUUGGCGGGGGUUUCGACCUCUUCACACUAGGAUGCGGGAAGGCAA